GAUGCAACGCGAAGAACCUUACCAAGGCUUGACAUGUUCUCGAUCGCCGUAGAGAUACGGUUUCCCCUUUGGGGCGGGUUCACAGGUGGUGCAUGGUUGUCGUCAGCUUGUGUCGUGAGAUGUUGGGUUAAGUCCCGCAACGAGCGCAACCCUCGUUCCAUGUUGCCAGCACGUCGUGGUGGGGACUCAUGGGAGACUGCCGGGGUCAACUCGGAGGAAGGUGAGGACGACGUCAAAUCAUCAUGCCCCUUAUGUCUUGGGCUUCACGCAUGCUACAAUGGCCGGUACAAUGGGUUGCGAUACUGUGAGGUGGAGCUAAUCCCAAAAAGCCGGUCUCAGUUCGGAUUGGGGUCUGCAACUCGACCCCAUGAAGUCGGAGUCGCUAGUAAUCGCAGAUCAGCAACGCUGCGGUGAAUACGUUCCCGGGCCUUGUACACACCGCCCGUCAAGUCACGAAAGUCGGUAACACCCGAAGCCGGUGGCCUAACCCUUGUGGGGGGAGCCGUCGAAGGUGGGACCAGCGAUUGGG
This 529-nucleotide ribosomal RNA is filed under the name Micrococcus luteus. RNAcentral describes it as "bacterial SSU rRNA". It matches the Rfam family "Bacterial small subunit ribosomal RNA", at positions 953 to 1479 of the family's 1533-position model. Lineage: Bacteria; Bacillati; Actinomycetota; Actinomycetes; Micrococcales; Micrococcaceae. The record is from RNAcentral.